This 497-nucleotide ribosomal RNA is filed under the name uncultured bacterium. Its description in RNAcentral is "partial 16S ribosomal RNA". It matches the Rfam family "Bacterial small subunit ribosomal RNA", at positions 28 to 507 of the family's 1533-position model. The record is from RNAcentral.
GACGAACGCUGGCGGCGUGCCUAAUACAUGCAAGUAGAACGGUGAAGAGAGGAGCUUGCUCUUUUUGGAUGAGUUGCGAACGGGUGAGUAACGCGUAGGUAACCCGCCUUGUUGUGGGGGAAAACCAGUGGAAACGAUAGCUAAUACCGCAGAACAAUGGAUUGCACAUGGCGUUUUGUUGAAAGGGGCCAUUGCUCCACUACCAGAUGGACCUUCGUUGUAUUAGCUAGUAGGUGAGGUAAUGGCUCACCUAGGCGACGAUACAUAGCCGACCUGAGAGGGUGAUCGGCCACACUGGGACUGAGACACGGCCCAGACUCCUACGGGAGGCAGCAGUAGGGAAUCUUCGGCAAUGGGGGCAACCCUGACCGAGCAACGCCGCGUGAGUGAAGAAGGUUUUCGGAUCGGAAAGCUCUGUUGUAAGUCAAGAACGGGUGUGAGAGUGGAAAGUUCACACUGUGACGGUAGCUUACCAGAAAGGGACGGCUAACUACGUG